Molecule: ribosomal RNA, 465 nt
Filed under: uncultured bacterium
Lineage: Bacteria
Description: partial 16S ribosomal RNA
Rfam family: Bacterial small subunit ribosomal RNA
Source: RNAcentral
CCUACGUGGCGCAGCAGUGGGGAAUAUUGCGCAAUGGGCGAAAGCCUGACGCAGCGACGCCGCGUGAGGGAUGAAGGUCUUCGGAUCGUAAACCUCUGUCAACAGGGAAGAACGGUCACUGUGCUAAUCAGCAGUGAAUUGACGGUACCUGCAAAGGAAGCACCGGCUAACUCGGUGCCAGCAGCCGCGGUAAUACGGAGGGUGCGAGCGUGAAUCGGAAUUACUGGGCGUAAAGCGCUCGUAGGCGGUAUGUCAAGUCAAGGGUGAAAUCCCCGAGCUCAACGUGGGAACUGCCUUUGAAACUGGCAAACUGGAGGGUUGGAGAGGAUGGUGGAAUUCCAGGUGUAGGAGUGAAAUCCGUAGAUAUCUGGAGGAACAUCAGUGGCGAAGGCGACUAUCUGGCACAUAACUGACGCUGAGGAGCGAAAGCGUGGGUAGCAAACAGGAUUAGAUACCCCUGUAGUC